AUUACCGCAGACAUUGGAAUCUGUACCGGAAACAUCAAAUGCUGGAGUUUGGAAUCGGCAGCAUCCGUGUAGGGAUUUGCCCAACAUUUGAUUUGGGGAGCAAGGCACGUAAAGAUAUUAAAAACCAAAUGUAACAAGGAACAGGGAGGCUAUUCCUGAUAAGGAGGCAAGACUUGAUGACUCCAGAAGUGAAAUCAAUGACAUGGAUGAAAUACUCUGAAGAACCAUCAAUAAUAUCGCAUCGGAAAUUUCACAAGACAGAAAAAUCCGAUAUGAAUUCAACUUUAAGAUUCUUCAUUAGUAGAACUCUGAGGAACCUCACUGCACAAGGAUCAAACUCUGGACUCCCAGAGACAGACACUGUUGUUCAGAAUGAUAGCUAACUUCCACCAUUAAUUAGGUAACAGUUAAGUUGAGUUGUGAGGCUUAACUUGCUAACUUGAGGGGUCUUAUUUUGGUUGCUAAAUGCAAUAAAGUUUAAAUAAUUGA
This is a long non-coding RNA of Stegostoma tigrinum, 489 nucleotides long. RefSeq lists it as uncharacterized. Lineage: Eukaryota; Metazoa; Chordata; Chondrichthyes; Orectolobiformes; Stegostomatidae. The record is from RefSeq and is a predicted model, not a curated record. The transcript has 2 exons.